Molecule: long non-coding RNA, 255 nt
Organism: Fukomys damarensis (Damara mole-rat)
Lineage: Eukaryota; Metazoa; Chordata; Mammalia; Rodentia; Bathyergidae
Exons: 3
Source: RefSeq, a predicted model, not a curated record
UGCCUUCCUGGGUAUGUCAGGUUGGCCAGAGGUAUGGCCUGAGGACUGUAUAUGAUCACCUGUCUUGCCACCCCCACAGCCGUGAUGUUUCUGGAUCAGAGUCAGCCAAUGACCAACUGAAUCCCAAAUCUGUUAAUAAAGAAAAGAUACAAAAAUGAACUGGAGAUACAGAUUCAAAUGAUACUGAACAAUAUUCCAUGAAGGGGGAAAAUUGAUAUGCUUAUGCAUUUAUUCAUCAAUGUGAACCUGAUUUCC